RNAcentral lists this long non-coding RNA (1092 nucleotides) under Mus spicilegus (steppe mouse). RNAcentral describes it as "lncRNA (ENSMSIG00000017423.1)". Lineage: Eukaryota; Metazoa; Chordata; Mammalia; Rodentia; Muridae. The record is from RNAcentral.
CCCGGGUGCAGCUGCGCAGAAGCUCCAGUGGGAUUGGACUCCAGGGAGCUGAAAGACCGAGAGCCCCUCCCACAACCCCACCCCAUCCACGCCCGCACACUGGCCUCUCACUUGUCUGAGUCCAGGGCUCCUACUAUCUCUUAAGAAAUUCCUUGGCUCAGGGGUCACAGGGCCAGUGAAUCUCAGCCACCUCGGACUCCCGCAGCUGACAGGACAGGGUGUCAGGAAGAAAGGCCAGUAACGUCUGCUUCAACCCCUCCUGCUCCUGUUUGAACAGUUCUGACUGCGCCCAUGGUCCUAAUUCUCAGAAACCCAAUGGGGAGCCCAGAGCAACGGAAUAAGCAACCAGAGGAUCAGGAUCCCAAAUGGCACUUCGCAGCAGAUUUUCUCAGCAAGGGCUUCCUGUGACCUUAAUUACAUUUAAAUAGAGCUUGUACCUGGCUUUGCAGAGCCAAUCUGCUUCUGACCCUGUUUUUGACCCUGGAGAAAAAGAAGGGCUGUCUAGGCCAGGCAAGACGCACAGGGACAGGACAGUGAGAGGAUGUCAAGCUUGAGGAGUUUGGCAUGAGGCAGUCAGUUGACUUUAUGGCCAGCUUUUUGCCAAAAUUUUCUGUGAAUCUAUUCAAUUUUAGCAAAGAAAAGGAAGAGAAUACUAUUAUCCAAUGCAUACAGAAACUGAAGGCACAUUAUGGUUGUGCUAUGCACCCAGCCCAUUGACGCCAUUACUCUACUGAAGAUCGUGGUGAUGGCACAUAAAGAAUGUUUGAAAGUAACAGGAAAUGUAUAACUCAAUGAGCACCAGAUGAGGGUAAGAGAUCCUGUUUCUGCUCAGGAGCCAUUCUUACAACUUUCUUAAACACAUUGUGCACCUGAUAGUCUAUGGCUUGAGCCUGGAUUGCUCCUCACAGGUUCAUGUUUUGGCUCCCACUGUGUGAUGCUAUUUUGAAGGAUGUAGAGCUUUCAGGAAGUGGGGACUGGGUGGAGAAAGUAUAUUACCAGGAGCAGGUCAGCUUUUGAGGGGUUUGACUACUUAUUUCCUGCCUGCUGGUAGCAGCCAAAUCUGGUGGUGGUUUGAAUAAGAAUGGACCCCAU